GGGUGAAAGCAGGGGAUCUUCGGACCUUGCGCGAUUGAAUGAGCCGAUGUCGGAUUAGCUAGUUGGCGGGGUAAAGGCCCACCAAGGCGACGAUCCGUAGCUGGUCUGAGAGGAUGAUCAGCCACACUGGAACUGAGACACGGUCCAGACUCCUACGGGAGGCAGCAGUGGGGAAUAUUGGACAAUGGGCGCAAGCCUGAUCCAGCCAUACCGCGUGGGUGAAGAAGGCCUUCGGGUUGUAAAGCCCUUUUGUUGGGAAAGAAAUCCAGCUGGCUAAUACCCGGUUGGGAUGACGGUACCCAAAGAAUAAGCACCGGCUAACUUCGUGCCAGCAGCCGCGGUAAUACGAAGGGUGCAAGCGUUACUCGGAAUUACUGGGCGUAAAGCGUGCGUAGGUGGUCGUUUAAGUCCGUUGUGAAAGCCCUGGGCUCAACCUGGGAACUGCAGUGGAUACUGGGCGACUAGAGUGUGGUAGAGGGUAGCGGAAUUCCUGGUGUAGCAGUGAAAUGCGUAGAGAUCAGGAGGAACAUCCAUGGCGAAGGCAGCUAC
This 549-nucleotide ribosomal RNA is filed under the name Stenotrophomonas sp. RNAcentral's name for it is "bacterial SSU rRNA". It matches the Rfam family "Bacterial small subunit ribosomal RNA", at positions 198 to 728 of the family's 1533-position model. Lineage: Bacteria; Pseudomonadati; Pseudomonadota; Gammaproteobacteria; Lysobacterales; Lysobacteraceae. The record is from RNAcentral.